GAAACACAGUACAUAAAACCACUGGUUACCAGAUCACUGGUACUGAAGUAAAGUAUCCUUAUAGCUAAUGGUUACUACAUAUGAUCAUCUUUAAAACAGGCAGAUUAAAAAUACACAGUCACAUGAGAUUGGCCUUCUUUGGUCUUUGUUUUUGGAUAAUAGAACUGAACACAACAAGUGUACCAUUGGUGAAGUCAAUACAAUUCCAAAAAUGUUACACAAUUUUUUUUUACAUUGAUUUACAUAUGGUUCUUUGUCAUUGAUGUUCUUCCACAGAUAUUUCUUACAGAAGUCCUUGGAAAUAAUGUCCAUUUUUAAGUUUUCCAAUUAAAAGUCACUUCAUUUGUUGUUAAAGGUUAUCCUACUUGUCCAAGGGGAAUAAGAUCAAUCAAUCAACAAGAUCUGAUAUCAAUCACUGCUACUUCUUGGAGUCUGAUGCCACAAUUAAAGAAAUUCUGAACUUUUAACUCUUUUUUUUUCACCAAGACAGUGAAAACAGUAUACUCCAAAUAUAGCAGCAAUGAAGGAGAUAAAAUGAGCUGCUUGGUACCUUAGCAAUUAUUAUAGAUGUUGGAACCCAUUCUGUUGUUCUCCCAAACCAGAUUGGGCAACUCUCUGCCAAGGGUGCAGGUCAUAGUUGGAGAAUCUGCUUUUUCAAUCCUGUACUGAAAUUCAAGUCAUGUCACAUUCAAUGAAGGAGAAAAGUUACCUAGAAAUUCUUGUUGGCCUCUGCUGAUCUUAAUAAGAGCCUCAUUUUAUUAUUGUUCUGAUGCUUCUAUUUUUCUUCACUUAUGACAUUUAAAAAAUCCUUAAAAAAUCUACUGGUGUAAUAAUGUAUGACAAAGACCUUUUUAAAAUUCAAUAAAUAUUUAUUCAGCGCUCACUAUGUGCAAAGCACUGUACUAAAGAGUCAUGAGACAUACAACAAUGACCAGGACAGAACCCUAAACCCAAUAAGCUUACAGCCCUAAGAAAAAGACAAAUCCUCAGACAUACUAUUUCCUCCAAGAAGCGUUCCCAGGCAUCCUUCUUUCCUAAAGUGAACUCUCCACCUCAAAUUUCUCUCUGCUUACAACUUUCCUUUACAUUCAUCUGACUCUUCCUUGUAUAACAGUUCUUUGUGGACUUCUUUUUCUUCACAAAAGACUGUAAACUCCUUGGGAACAUCUAUGUCACAUUCACCUUUAUAUCUCUAACAUCUAGCACAACAUAGAUGCUUAAUAAAUUACUAGAGAUGAAUGUUGCCAUCAUAGCCAACACUAUUGAGAUAGCCAAUGUAUUCCAUACUUCCAAAGAUCAAACUCUCAACUGAAAUUCACCUGGCUUAAACGCUUAACAAAUUAACACUACUCUGGAGAAAACCGCAUGCAAAAUGUUAUAGAUUUUGAAAUGGAAGACAAAAACUACAAUCAUGGGUCAAGAAACAGAUUUGGAGAACAGAUCCCACAUUCAUCUCAUAACUGCUACACACUUUAAGUGAAUUCCCUGAAUUUUCUUCCUUCUGGUUAUCUAAGGACUAAAAGAUUUGGACUACAUGUUAAAAAAAUAUUGUUUUACAGCUAUAGUUCAGCCCUUUUUAACAUUUUAAUGCUUCACCUACCUCCAUUACAGCCCCAUUCUGAUGCCUUAUUGUGACAUGGAGGAAACACUGAGUUCUCAAAAAUUAGGCCAAAUGCCAAAAUCUGGUAGGAACUACCAAACUGGAAAGGCUUAGAGAACAGAUCUAACGAGACACUGUGUCUGUCAUUUAAAGACCAGACUAGUUAAGUUCAGAGAGCUUCAUCAUCAGAAGAUUGACUACCAGGAUGGGUUUUUUUGUUUGUUUGUUGUUCUUUUUUACCCCAGCCACAGCAACUCAUGAAACAGCAUUGCUAGCUGGAAGGGUUCUGAUCUGCCUCGGUUGUAGGAACCUCCACACUGAUGAAAUCACAGGUCCUUUGAAGUACAGCUAUGAUCCAAGCAAUGAGACGUAUUUUAAACAGGCAAGAGUUCAGUUUAAAAGCCCCAAUGUCAGUGUUGAAAAUGCUCUUAAUUCUUGCUUUCACUGACUUAAUGAGCCACCUGUGCGGCUGACUGACCCUGCAAGGAAAUCCUACUCAGGAUAAUCCAGGAGGAAUCAUGCACAGUAUUCCUUGUGGUUCACUAUUCUGUUUUAUUUCUUAAUAUGUUAAAGGGAAAUAGGGGCUAGAAGCAAGAGCUCCUCCAAUAUGUACAUCUUAGCCUGUUAAAGAAGAGUGGUAAGACUCAUUCAUUGUUCUGAACGUGUCUCAAGGGAAUUAGGUUGGCUGUCUUCAAUACUCUUUCCAGAAGAAGAAAUGGACCAAAGUGUCAGUGUGUGGUUUAUAGCUCUUAAAGCUUCCCUCGCUUGAGCUGCAUGAGUGGUAACCCCAAUAACUGGCCACCACUCUGUGACUCUUACUGGGGAGAAGACUUAGAGAUUAGAAACGAGGCAGAUCAGUGCUUUUUCCCUUCCUAGGUUGAAAAGUCAAAAGUAGGUACUAUCUAAUGGUUUCCUUGACAUCAUUAGGAAGUGCUUGUAUCUCUACAAAGAGAUUUGGCUUGUGUCUGCACAAUGUCAAAAUCAUCAGAUGAUUCGGCUAUUUCAGUCAAAAAACUAGUCAGUUUGGUGGUGAUGAUGAUGACAGAAUCAUUUAAAUCAGCUUAGUAAGAUCACAGAAUGUUAAAGCUAGAACAGACCACAGGGAUAAUCUAAUCCAAACUUCCUCAUUUUAUAAAUGAGGAAAUGUAGUCCAGAGAGAAGAAGAGAUUUGCCAGUCUCACAGCCAGUAAGGGUCAGACCCAGAUUUUUAAAUUUCUGGUCAAUCAUUUUUUCCACUCCACUAUAUGUGACAAUCAAAAUAGUUUCUACAUAGCUUAUCUGUUUGACUGACUUUUCAUCUGGUUGAUUAAUAUAUGGAGACAUGGGCCUCGGAGAGGUGUUUCUCAUAGUCUCAGAUUUGUACACUCCAUGUUUCUGAAGACGUCAAUCACAGGGCAUCUAUCCUGGGGAUGGACUACUAACUAGACUGAGGUCAUGAACAUUAGCCAUUAAAAUAGAAGACCUCUUCUGGCCUACUUUGCUUGCAUAGUUAACAUUUAUCAAGGCAUUAAACUAUAAAAGUGCCAUUGAAUUUCAACUUCUGGGAGAGCACUGUCACUUUCUUAUUUGAUACAUUUAGCUCAAUUAUCUAAUUUACAUGAAUUUAUUGUAGUCUCUAUUAGCCAAAUGCAAAAAUAUGGAAUUAUUCUUAUGAAAAAGGAUUAAUUUAAUCUCAUUGUCUUCAGCCCUGAAGUUGGUUUUUAGUUUUAGAAGAUGUUUCAGACUAUGGACAUUGACAAUACUCCUUCCCAGCUGAUGACUAAUAAAAUGGCACCCCAACAUUCAUAAUAAUCAACAGAUUAAAACCCUAAAGGAUACAAAGCUCUUCCAUGUCUUAUCUGACUUUUCAGUCACAUCCCAGGCAAAAGUUCUAACUUCCAAACUUGCCUUCUAGUAUGGCAGAAAACCAGCUUAGAAGAGAACCUGGUUUGGAUUUUCAGUGGGUUGCAAAUCUUUACAAAUUACAGGUGAAUAUUAGGCAUUGAAGUUGCAUCACUACAUAUUAGAUACAUUUUUUUUUCUGUUACACUCACAAAUUAGGUAACAAGACCUGCUGGUAUGGAAGAGUGGGCCAACAAUACAUAUAAAAGUCCCGGUCCAGUAUGAGUAUGAAAAGCCAUGCCAGCAAUGAUAGAAUUUAAUGGGGUUGAUAGUGCUACAAUUCCUAUCAAAUUAGGGAUAGGUCAUGUGAAAUUGUCCACAGUGAAUGAUUUUCCAGUCUGAUUCCACUAUGCAGAUGCUUCUUGCCUCAACCACUGUCAACUGCAUGAAUAAAUAUAGUUAUACAGAAAGAGGAAAAGGGAGAAAGAAGAGGGAGAAACUGCAAAAGUGGUUAUUAAAGAGGCAGGAAGAAAUUCUUAUUUCCACUAUGAAAUGUUUCAGAGAAAUCAAGGAGAUUAAUUCAUGCACAAAAACUUAACUUUGUUUUUAGUUACUGGAGCAGUUUUGUUAUGUUGGAAAUUUGUUACUCAGUAAUAGUAAAGAAGGUGCACACAUACACAGAGCAUCUAACACAUAGAAACAGUCAACUCCUAGUAGCCUGAGGCCUUUUGAAAAUGUUGGGGGAUUUAGUUUCUCCCACUAUAUUAGGGCAGACCAUUGUCUCAUAGGAAUGAACAGCAUCUGGCUAUUUUGGGAACAGUAGUACAAACAGAAAAACAAUAUUAUUUAAGAGAUUCUAGUUAUGCUAACUAUUGGUAGCAAAACUGAAAAUAUAGAGUAUGUAAAAGACUCAAAAAGCUUUCUGACAAGUUUGCUGUAUUUGAGAGAAAAUCCAAAAGGUAUAUUGAAAAAAAAGUUCCAAUAAAUAUUAACCUAAUUAUUAAAAGACUAUAAGACAUAACAGCACCUCCUUGCUUUAGGUGAGAUUUCACAGUUUUACUGAAAUUAAAUACUAUGGGCUUCAUAUGUUCGAAAGCCAAGGGAAAAAAUUUCUACCUUAUUCAACCAAUAGUCUUAGUCUGGGAAAUCUAUUUGGAGAAGUCCUACUAUAAAGGGAAUGGAUGCUUCAAUGUAAUGCUUCGAGGUAAUCCCCAACUCAAACCAGGAUUCAAUCUAAGGAGGGGAUUUCUUUACAAGGCCACAAAUGUUUUUUGUAUUUCUUUUAAAAUUUCAGACAAUCUUAUAUGGUUUUCUGUGUUGGAAAAAAAAGUCCUUGGGAGCAGUCCCUAUUGGUGCCCAUGGCCUCAGUAAAGAGACCUGAGGUCCACUAUGUGAACUGCCAGGCUGCCUGUAUCCAAAAGCCUCUUAGGAGAACCCACACCUGAACAAGAUCCAGGGCACACUCAGGGCAUACCUUCGAGGUAACAGUGGUUUUAGGUGGGCAGCCUGUAAAAUACUGCAGCUGUCAGAUCUUCUGCAGGAAGUCCUUCCUCAAUGAGUAGUGAUAGAAACGUGACUCAAAUUAGGUCUCAAGUGAUGGCACUAACUUGUGUUCCCCACCCCCCAAAGGAACAGGAUGGUGAUGAAUAAAAGGAAUAAAAGGAAAUCAAAUAAAUGGAGUGUUUGUGCUACUUAAACAAUAAUAGGUUUUACUGAUACAGGUGCUUGGAAAACCAAUGAAGACCACUUAUGGUAUGCACUGAAUACUUAUGGUAUGUGUUGAAUUACUGUUUGUAAUGGGAAAGUCCUUCCUGCAGGCACUGUAUGUGAAGGCACACCCAUGACAGACAAUAGCACCAGAGACAAGGUGAACUACAGAGGCAUGAAUCCAACUGUCCCCAUGCUACAGAUUGUAGGAAGAGCCCAAGAGGCAGGCAGUCUGAGGAGCACCGCCCAACUGGCCAAUGGUGGGGGUGCAAAUUUCUCUUGAACGUGGCACAGAUGGGGUAGUUCAUACACAUUGGUUUUGCCUAAGAAGCACCCAUCAAGGUUUAGCACCCAUCGAUGUUAAGAAGCACCCAUAGAACAUGGUGCAUAGUAAAAGGUAAAAGACAGGAGAUAGGUCAUCAAAUUCCUAAUCACAGUCAGACCAUUAAGAGAAGAAGGUAAACGGGGCGGGGUGGGGGUGGGGUGGGGUUGAGAAAAAGCCUUCUAGGAAAGCUCAGGCUGUGCCCAUAGAAGCCUAGACAGCAUUUCCCUAGAAAAGAGAUGGAUGAGAGGGAUGUCUGAGAGUCUGCCUCAACAAGCCAUCCCUGAGGGGAGAUGCAAUUUACAUUUUGAGAAAGUCCAGAUGAGUCCCUUUAGUCAUCUGAGCUUUCCUCUUCCACACAGGGAUGUGGAAGAGGAUAUAAUUUUCUACUCCACAUUAGCCUUGGGGAUGGGAUCAAAGCCCUAAGACCAAGCUCCAUGGGAGCAGUGUGAGAAAACUGCUGGGGCCUGAAGAUUUGGAAUCCACAACAAUCAAGCAAGGGAAGCUCCAGAGGCCAAAAGGCUAGUUUGGCUUCUUGUCAGCACAUUUGGGAAAUCAUUUACGGGGCCCUCAUAUGGAUAAAGUCCACAGAUAACAACAGAAAAGUCUAGUUAAGCUAUCAUUUUUCUCUAAUUUAACUGAGUACAAAUCUAUGAUAUAGAAGCAGCAUGUCACAUCUAAGGCACAUGUACAUUAUGCCACCAUCUCAAUGAAAAGACCACUUUCUGAGAUCUUUAACAAAAUGCAGCAAUUGUGACAGAAUGAAUAAACAUAUCUAAAGUGACCACCUUCUGCAUGAACCGCCUUUCCCACCCCCCAGAACACUAAGCAUCUUGAAGAUUUAAUAUUUGUGUCAUCAGCAAUAGAGAGAUCAUUUGAACACAUGGGGCAGAGCUUUAAAAACCUACAGGAUUUUUGUCUAGAACUUCAGAGUUCAACAAAUGCCCUAUUUUAGGGUGAAAACAAUUAUAAAUCUGAGAAUGAUGCACGGCAUCCAUGAGCAAUUUUUCUUUCUUAAUAAUUUUGAAGUAGUGUCAUUAACUACGACAUAUAUUGUAGGUUUACAUUUCUAACGAGAAAUAACAACAGAUUGAAUAUUUUCUUUCCUAUCACAAGUGAUAACCAGUGUUUGAUAUUUUACAUUUUCUUCCAAGAAAUAUCAGUCUAUCAACAUUUUAAAAUAAGAUGUUUGUGUUAAUAAUUAUCAGUAAAACUUUAAAUCAAAAAAUGAUUCCGAAUUUAGAGACUGAGUACUUCAGGGUCUUCUGACAAACAAAUUAUUAAAACAGAGACCAGGUGAGGCCUUAAAAAUAGACAAUAUAUUGUAUUUGAAACAAGAUUGCACUUUGCUUUUUUUUUUGAAUGAAUAUAUCAGAACUGCAUUAUGAUUUCAUCAUUUCUUCUUUUACUUAACAUGCUGACAUAUCCAGCUAUCCCCAUGUGAAUUUUUUGGUGUUCUAGUUUAAGGAAGAAAAAUCAUAUCUGUUUUGUUUGUUUGUUUUGUUUAGCAUAUAUGUCUUUCUACCUCAAUAAACUAGAUCUUUAAAAAUAAAAAUUAAAACCCUCUGACAGUAAUAUUUAUCCCAAUGAUGGAUAAAUAAUUCUUCAGAGUUGAAGUGUUGCUAGUUCUAUUAGAAAAU
Molecule: long non-coding RNA, 7090 nt
Filed under: Sarcophilus harrisii (Tasmanian devil)
Lineage: Eukaryota; Metazoa; Chordata; Mammalia; Dasyuromorphia; Dasyuridae
Description: lncRNA (ENSSHAG00000026546.1)
Source: RNAcentral